AUUCUGGGCAGGAAUGUGUCUCUUUAUUGUUGUAUGGUACUCUGCCAAGCGUUUAGUACAGGGGUCUGCACACAGUUGGUGCUCAAUAAAUACAACUGAAUGCAUAAAUGAAUGAAUUCUCCUGUUCUGGGCUUCUCAGCACCUUAAGUCUGCUGGAGAAGAAAUAAAAUUGAGUUUCCCAGAAAGAUGGAACUGCCUUGGUCAAGGAGAUGGUAACUAAAAUAAGGGACACCUUUCAACUUUCUAACACAGACAGAAGAGUCCCGAUUUGAGGGGAAAAAAGAAAAUCCCACAUUUUGCUUCCUACUACAACUUCAGAAAGCAACAUUCAUGGAAAACAUUCUCAUGGGGAAACUCUAAGAAAAGAUUCGCCUGCGAGUAUGGACAAGAUGUGAUGUCAGGAACCACUUUCUAUUACGAAGAGCAGUUUUGCAUGGAAAGAAACUUUUCACACAUCAAGGAUUUUUCAUUCCAUUAGAAAUAAGCUUUAAGAAAAAUUAAUGUCAACCCACGGGACCUGCAGCUCCUGGACACUGAAGAUUUACUCCAUC
Molecule: long non-coding RNA, 551 nt
Filed under: Ornithorhynchus anatinus (platypus)
Lineage: Eukaryota; Metazoa; Chordata; Mammalia; Monotremata; Ornithorhynchidae
Description: lncRNA (ENSOANG00000043412.1)
Source: RNAcentral